RNAcentral lists this long non-coding RNA (2813 nucleotides) under Homo sapiens (human). RNAcentral describes it as "HSALNT0290096". Lineage: Eukaryota; Metazoa; Chordata; Mammalia; Primates; Hominidae. The record is from RNAcentral.
GGGCGGAGUCUCUUUUCUGACCCUACCCAAACGCACACAGAAACAACCCCAACAUUUGCAGAGCCCUUAAGCCUGUACACCCAAUGAGGAAUCGCUGGUUAGAGGCCGCGUGAAGGACACCCUGACCAAGCUGGGUCCUGCCCAUGCCGGUAGAUCGUCCAUGGCUUCCCUUGGGGGCUGCCACCCACUGUAAACCUGAGCAAGUUCCUCUCCUGUUCCGAAGCCUGCCCUGGCAAAGCCCCAGUACAUAUUCCAAUCCUGCUCUAGGUCAGUAUUCCCACUGCACCUGUCUACCCCUCGCCCGCCCCCCGGGUCACCACGCAGGACCCCUUGCACGCUCCCCCCACCACCUUUGCUAUGCAACUCCUCCCCUUUAUCUGCUAGGGAGACUCCUAUGCAUUCAUCAAGGUCCAGCUCAAAUCUGGCCACCCUCAGUGGCUUUUCCUGACGCUCUCAGCAGAACCAAACCUCCAGCUUUGUUAUGUGUUGGUGUUGCAGUACACAGUGAGUGAGUUCUGUUUGUUUUCCAGGGCGGCAAUGAAAGGGUAGUCAUCAGGGACACAUAGGCUCGGGAAACCAACCCCCCUGGGUUCAGAGUGGGCUCGUUGCUAGCUGUGUGCUCCACUGUCUGUGCCUUCAUAUCUAUGGUGCGGGAGUUAAAGGAAUCAAUAGGUGGAAGGUGCAUGUACCAGUGCCUGGCACUGAUGUACAUUCAAUCAAAGUUAGCUACCGUUGCCAGCUUUGCCAAAACGGGGUACUUGGGGGCGAGGAGGAGUGGCUGGAGGCUGGGGUUGGGGUGGCUUCUGGGUUUCUGGUGCUGUUUUAAUCUCGACCUGGGCACUGGUUUUAGUUUGUGAAAAAUCAUUGAGUUGCAUACUUAGAAUAUGUGCACUUUUCCAUAUGUCCAUCAUACAUUAAUAAAAAGUGUUUCUAGAAGUUAGUUGUUUUUCACUAAGAGCAGGACAGCCCUCAUCUCCUUGAGAACAAGAACAAAGCCUGACAUCCCAGCAGCUUGCACAGUGCUGGCGGGGCACGCUGUAAGUGCUCAGCUGAUGGUUGUUGAAUUGCUCUGAAUGGAUUGUGAGCAAGAGACCAGCAGGGGUGGAGGCUGACAGGAGAGACAGCGCCUGCCUCUGUACUCUAAAGUGCCGGGGAACUCGUGGUGAUUUGGAUCCAGUUCAGGCACCUGAAGCCCAGUUAAAGAGAAGGAAUCUUCAGUCUUUUCUCUCUCAGAUACAGCCGGGCACGGUGGCUCACACCUGUAAUCCCAGUACUUUUAGGAGGCUGAGGCAGGAGGAUCACUGGAACCCAGGAGUUCGAGACCAGCCUGGGCAACAUGCAAAUGGAGCCAUUGGGAGGACACUUGACCGAGAGGAGAGCAUUGCUUGAGCCAGGGGUGCCGUCUGCAGGACAGAGACAGGAGGCAGUGUUGUUUCCAGGGCAUCGUGGACCAUGGCACAGGUGAGCAAUUUAAAAAGGUGAUUGGAAUCAUAUGUUAGAAUAAUGACCUUAGCAGUCAAAGGCUCCUGGAAUUUGUCAUUUAAUUUCAUAUUUUAGGUGGACUGAUCUGUAAUUUAGUUAAUUUCACAUCUCCAUCUAGGAAAACUGGAGCUCUGCACAAUAUUUUCUGCAGACGACAAAGUAUUCACCCAAACUAUUUCUCAUAGUAAAAUGUGCUCUUUGUCCCCAGAGAACUGCUGAAUACUACAUAAGAUCUGUGUAGGAGCCAUGCUUUAACAACAACAAACACCUCAGACACACAACAACCCUUUCCUCCCUCGAUAAAGAUACUGAAAAGAAUCUGGUCUCUGGGGUGAGGAGUAGGGGAAGCAGGUGCAAGCAAGUGGGUGCAGAGGAGUGGGAAGAUGGCAUUUUGUGUAGGAAAGAAUUUAACGUUGCCCAAAGAGAGGUCUGGCUUUUGUCCUCACCUUCUGGGAGGUGAACUCUAAGCCCUUGGAAUAUCAUGCCUGAUUGGAGUUUGUUUGCCUGGGAUCCUUGUGUCACAGAAUGGUCUAACCAUAUGAUUUAGGGUAGAUGCUGGCCACACUGGAUAGGUUUAGGGUAGGGGUUGGCUGUGCCAGAAAGACCAACAAUGUGACUUAGGGUGGGGUCUUUGGGUCACGUGGUAUCAGCUGACUCUGGAGGAGCUGGAGAGGGAGGGCAGUCACCUGUGUGAUGGAGCCGCAAUAAAAACUCUGAACACUGGGGCUAUGGUGAGCUGCCCUGGUUGGCAGUACUCCAUGGGUACUGUCACACAUCAAUGCCAGGAAAGUCAUGCUUUUCAUGAUUCCAUGGGGAAGAGGACAGUGGAAGCUCCAUGUCUGGUACCUUCCUGGACUAUGCCCUAUGCCCUUCCUCCCUUGGCUGAUUUUAAUCUGUAUCCUUUUGAUGUAAUAAUGUGCAACUGUGAGUAUGAGAGCUUUUGAUGAGUUCUGCGUCCUUCCAGUGAAUGAUCAAACCUGAGGGUGGUCUAGGGUACCCCUUGCAGUUGGUGCAGCAAUAAAGGUGGUCUUAUGUGGAUGGUGCUCCCUUUAACUUGACAGGUGGCUAACUGAUAUGGUUGGCUGUGUCCCCACCCAAAUCUCAUCUUGAAUUUCCAUGUGUUGUGGGAGGGACCCAGUCGAAGAUAAUUGAAUCAUGGAGGCAAGUCUUUCCUGUGUUGUUCUCACGAUAGUGAAUACAUCUCACGAGAUCUGAUGGUUUUAAAAACAGGAGUUGCCCUGUAAGAGCUCUUUCUCCCUUUGCCUGCUACCAUCCAUGUAAGAUGUGACUUGCUCCUCCUUGCCUUCCACCAUGAUUGUGAAACUUCCCCA